AGCUCUGCUCCAUGCCUUUUUCAUUCUGGAGCCUAGGCCUGAGGAGCAGGCCAUACCUGGGAUGGGUCUGCUUUGUGUCAGAAGGAGAAGAGUAAUGCAGAACUCCUGGAAAGCUUCGGCUUGGAGUUGAAAAGCAUCAAGUACACUAGCGAUUGUAUCUAACAAAUGAAGAAACUGAGGCCCAAAGGGAACCAACUGAACUAGCCCCAAGUCAUAUGGGACCUUCCAGCUUGAAUUGUUGCAGAACUCAGGAAGGGAGACUCAAUUCAUCUGCCCCAGGGGCUCAGCCAAGAGGAGAUGCCAAGGACACUCUUGGGAGCCUGUCUCCACUCACCUGAAAGUGAAUUCCAACCUCAGCUCAGGAUUUCUUCUGUGUCCUCCAUCCACUCCAGUGACCUUGCCUGUCAGCUGCAAGAGAACAUGCCCGAGGCCCAAGAGCAGCAGCUGAUGAAGCUGGAAAGGCUGCGCUGGUCCCCGCUCGUCCAGUCUCCUUGCUCCGAGGCAUUUGUUCUAGGAUGUCAGGGUGAUCCACCCCGCCUCCCGUCCUGGGCACCUGGGGCAUGGGCUCCUGAGUCCCUGACACCUGGACAUUGUUCCCAGGCGAUCCGCGGCGGUGAUGGAAUUCCGCAGAAGUGAAAAAUGAAACCUUUAGUCCAAAGGAGGAGAGAGAGUUCCAUCUUUAACGUUUCUUCUUUAAAUCUGAGGUCUAUGAGACCUUUAGAAGCUCAGAAUUAUGGGGAAGAACUGCAUCCUUCAUCUUGCCGCUAAGCCCCACCAGAAUGAAGCGGUGGGUCUGCUUUUGCCCAGAGCCACUGGUUUG
Molecule: non-coding RNA, 820 nt
Organism: Microcebus murinus (gray mouse lemur)
Lineage: Eukaryota; Metazoa; Chordata; Mammalia; Primates; Cheirogaleidae
Source: RefSeq, a predicted model, not a curated record